GGUCCCAUGGUGUAAUGGUUAGCACUUUAGACUCUGAAUCCAACAAUCCGAGUUCGAGUCUCGGUGGGACCU
This 72-nucleotide transfer RNA is filed under the name Penaeus japonicus. RNAcentral describes it as "tRNA-Gln". It matches the Rfam family "tRNA". Rfam says of the family: Transfer RNA (tRNA) molecules are approximately 80 nucleotides in length. The record is from RNAcentral. Lineage: Eukaryota; Metazoa; Arthropoda; Malacostraca; Decapoda; Penaeidae.